Molecule: long non-coding RNA, 587 nt
Filed under: Populus trichocarpa (black cottonwood)
Lineage: Eukaryota; Viridiplantae; Streptophyta; Magnoliopsida; Malpighiales; Salicaceae
Description: long non-coding RNA (PTRI_LNC001339)
Source: RNAcentral
AUCAUUCUACCCAUCAAAGUUAUAGAAACCUCUCCAAGCACUCACAUUAACUCCAGUGUCCCCCUUCUGGAGGUUCUUUAUGAUAGCCAUAACUAUUCUAAUCAGCUUCAAACAUCAAAGACAAGUAAUGAUCCUUAUCUCAAUUUAGAAACCAUUAUAGCAGAGACCUUCCUCCAUAAAGUUUAACAUAAAUGGCUCAAAUGAUUCAACCAAAUACAAAGGGAAAACCCCCCUCGUCUACCUAAAUGAUGAUGUACAUGUAUGAGAAGAAACAACCACCAAAUAAAAGCCUCCAUGGCCAUAUCUUUAAUGGGUUUAUUUCAUUUUCUCGUAACUGUAAGACACUACUUGUCAACUACCUUCAAAAAAUUACACUGAAAAGCCAAAGAGCAUGUCAUGAUGGCAGCAUAAACUUAUAACAACAACCAACAAGUAGAGCCAUUAGAGUUGAAUAUUAAAUAUUGGGAAGGAGUUCGUUUGUUUGAAUUACUUACUCUUGGAGAAGGAGGCAAAUGAUAAAGUGCGCACUGCCAGCUCCAUCUCCAAAUUUAGAUACAAAAAGGCUUACUUGUGUGCUGUGCUUCUAU